RNAcentral lists this ribosomal RNA (422 nucleotides) under uncultured bacterium. Its description in RNAcentral is "bacterial SSU rRNA". It matches the Rfam family "Bacterial small subunit ribosomal RNA", at positions 355 to 774 of the family's 1533-position model. The record is from RNAcentral.
UGAGGAAUAUUGGGCAAUGCCCGAAAGGGUGACCCAGCAACGCCGCGUGGAGGAUGAAGGUCGUAAGAUUGUAAACUCCUGUUAGAGGGGAAGAAUAACUAAGUUUGGAGCUUAGUAUGACUGUACCCUCAGAGAAAGCCCCGGCUACCUACGUGCCAGCAGCCGCGGUAAUACGUAGGGGGCAAGCGUUGUCCGGAUUUACUGGGUGUAAAGGGCGCGCAGGCGGGAUAAAAAGUCAGUGGUGAAAUCCUACAGCUUAACUGUAGAACUUCCUUUGAUACUUUUAUUCUUGAGUUCGGGAGAGAGAGACGGAAUUCCAGGUGUAGUGGUGAAAUACGUAGAUAUCUGGAAGAACACCAGUUGCGAAGGCGGUCUCUUGGUCCGACACUGACGCUGAGGCGCGAAAGCGUGGGGAGCAAACA